Molecule: long non-coding RNA, 1065 nt
Organism: Herpailurus yagouaroundi (jaguarundi)
Lineage: Eukaryota; Metazoa; Chordata; Mammalia; Carnivora; Felidae
Exons: 3
Source: RefSeq, a predicted model, not a curated record
AGCGUAUUGAUUUUCAAAUGCAGUAGGUCCAUCCUUUUCUAAAGUAAGAUGUCUUGACUGCCACAGGACCUUGAAAAGCCAGUCUGGAGAACAGACUGAAAAGGGAAAUGAUAUCUCUUCUACUCAUUUUUAGCUCUAAGAAAUCUGGGGACACAGUAUAAAUGCAUCACUGGUAUAUACACUUGGACAGUAUAAGCAAGAGAAUGCUACUGUAAUCUGCCAGCACAGUUGAUGUUCCUAAACUCAGAUAUUUCAUUCAAGGGGCACUUGUGACCAUGGUCACGGCUCUGAGUGGAUCUGAUGGAAAAGGAAUGUUGGUUUCUCCCACGUGGGUUUCCUACUGGUUUGCCUCUGAGCAAACCGUCCUUAGACACUGUAGCUGAAGAUAAGCAGUCAUUCCAGAGCCAGAGCAGUGUGGUUCUGAAAGUUUAUAGUCUUAACAAUUAAGAAAAUCAGAGGGGAAUCAUCUGUAUGUAAAAGAAUGGAACUAAGGAGAACCAAAUGCUGUAAAUUACUUCAGAAUCAGUUUCACGAAAUUACCAUAUCCCAAAUCAAAGGGCUAUACCUCACUCUCAAGAUGGCUGGAAUUCACUGCACUUUCCAGAAGAUGUUCUCAUUCUCCUUUGCGAGUAAGGGGGCUGUGAAUGAAGGCUAGGACUGUUUACAUGACUUUGUAAUAAUUUUCCCAUCUUGGUUGUUUUGAGAAAUCUUGCACAAUAAGAGAGGUACUAAUGGAAAGUGAAAAUGCCAUUCAGAUUCUCUAAAAUAACAAAAAACUAGAUUCAAGAAAUGAAGGCUAAUACUGAUCUGAAGCAAAAUUCCAGAGUGGAUUGGUAAACAGAAGGUUAGAGAGACUUGUGAGAAGAACAAAUACGAGUGAAGUCCUGAAGAGCAAACCAUACACAUUCAAGUUUUGUUCUUUCUGUUUUGGGGGGGGGGUGCUAAGGAAGAAAGAGCUGCUUGGGAAUGCCACACAGCGUAUUUUUAUUUGAGCCAAAUAAAAAUCAUUAUUUGCUCAUGGAACUAGAUGAGGACACCUGGGAAGAGAACACGUCUGACCUCCAG